GUGUAGCUCAGUGACAGGGCACUUGCCUGGAAUGCAUGAGGCUGAGUUCAAACCUCAGCAC
RNAcentral lists this transfer RNA (61 nucleotides) under Cavia porcellus (domestic guinea pig). It matches the Rfam family "tRNA", at positions 5 to 66 of the family's 71-position model. From Rfam's summary of the family: Transfer RNA (tRNA) molecules are approximately 80 nucleotides in length. Their secondary structure includes four short double-helical elements and three loops (D, anti-codon, and T loops). Further hydrogen bonds mediate the characteristic L-shaped molecular structure. tRNAs have two regions of fundamental functional importance: the anti-codon, which is responsible for specific mRNA codon recognition, and the 3' end, to which the tRNAs corresponding amino acid is attached (by aminoacyl-tRNA synthetases). tRNAs cope with the degeneracy of the genetic code in two manners: having more than one tRNA (with a specific anti-codon) for a particular amino acid; and 'wobble' base-pairing, i.e. permitting non-standard base-pairing at the 3rd anti-codon position. Lineage: Eukaryota; Metazoa; Chordata; Mammalia; Rodentia; Caviidae. The record is from Rfam by way of RNAcentral.